Molecule: long non-coding RNA, 361 nt
Organism: Rhinopithecus roxellana (golden snub-nosed monkey)
Lineage: Eukaryota; Metazoa; Chordata; Mammalia; Primates; Cercopithecidae
Exons: 3
Source: RefSeq, a predicted model, not a curated record
UGUGUUGCUUUUUUGUUUGUUUGUUUUCUGGUUUGGGUUUGUUUAUUUGUUUUUUUUUUAACCCCUUCUGGACGGCACCAAGAGCUGUCGCUUUCCUCGGGAGAGAAAUCCACUGAUGAAGGGGAAAAAAAAUCACAAUUUGCCCAAGCGGAAGCAGCUGCCAUUGGAUUUGCAGUUAGAAGGGUUUGCGCUGGUUUCCUCACGUGGGUCCUUUGUGAAGAAACUUUCCAACUCCGUAGUGGGGAGAGGAUCUGCGGAGCUUUCGGGUGCUGGACUUUGACAGAACUCAAACUCAUUUCUCUGCUCAGGCCAGGCGCGGUGGCUCACGCCUGUAGUUCCAGACCUUUGGGAGGCCGAGGCG